GUGAGCUGCCAGAAAUCCGGCAUGAUCAUCACUGUGGAUGCUCCUCAGGACUGAGGUCAGGGAAUUCUGGGGCCACAGCCAUGAAACUCUCCAGCUGGAACUAAAGACAGCUGUCAUUAGGCUUGUGUCCUCUGCAGGCUGGAAGCAGAAGGAAGGCAUUCCAGUCUGACCAGUGAGUUUCAGAUCCAUGCAAGAUUAGGAGUCGGUUUUAAACCUGUGGCUGUGAACGUGUGAUUGAAUUUUAACUGCUUUCAAUUAAUGUAGAUCAAAAGAGACUUUUGUAGUUGGACAGUCCUUCAAAAGUACCAGACUUCAAGCAUAAAUCUGUCCAGUCUGCCUUUGUUUUUCAUAACUUGUCUUGCCAUGUUUGUUAAUUAUGGAAGGCAUUUAGGACUUGCUCUGUCUCAUCCAGUUUCUUCACUUCAACAGGGCUCCAGCAGUCAAGUCAGCAAUUUUACAAUCCACUGCCUUGGACCUAGAAAGUCAUUUAUGGCCAGCAAAGUAGUCUGAAAUGGCCAGAGGAUCCACAGGGAUGGAAGUACUCUGAAGAUCCUCCUCUGUUUUUUGGAUACCUGUCUGGGGCUUGUAGAAUACCAAGGAUUUCCAGCUUUUCUGCACUGUAACAUCUCUUCAUAUCCUUUAUCUUAUGUUUUGGAUGAGUAUCCCAAAAUCUUGGUGUUUUCUGUAGUAGUCUGAGAAUUUUUCUCCAGGAAAUUGUAAUGAACAUGUUCUUUUUGAAUGUCCCUGUGUUUACAUGACUGCUUCAUCAAGAUUUUCCA
Molecule: non-coding RNA, 779 nt
Organism: Sturnus vulgaris (Common starling)
Lineage: Eukaryota; Metazoa; Chordata; Aves; Passeriformes; Sturnidae
Source: RefSeq, a predicted model, not a curated record